GCCCCACUGGACUUCAUUUGAGUUGCUGACCCUCAAAAACCAAUCCGUCCAUCCCACGGUAGGACUGGGCCAAGAACGGAAAGUAUCCUUCCACAGAUCCAAAGAAAUGUUCUCGACUCUAAAAGGGAUCCUGUUGGUUUCUGCAUUGAUGAGGUCGGUUGGAUCUGGAUCCCCUAACGGGUCAAGGCAUUGGAGGUGUGGU
Molecule: long non-coding RNA, 202 nt
Filed under: Sorghum bicolor (sorghum)
Lineage: Eukaryota; Viridiplantae; Streptophyta; Magnoliopsida; Poales; Poaceae
Description: long non-coding RNA (SBIC_LNC003019)
Source: RNAcentral